Molecule: ribosomal RNA, 458 nt
Filed under: uncultured bacterium
Lineage: Bacteria
Description: bacterial SSU rRNA
Rfam family: Bacterial small subunit ribosomal RNA
Source: RNAcentral
ACUCCUACGGGAGGCAGCAGUGAGGAAUAUUGGACAAUGGGCGGAAGCUUGAUCCAGCCAUGCCGCGUGCAGGAAGACUGCCCUAUGGGUUGUAAACUGCUUUUAUACAGGAAGAAUAAGUCCGACGUGUCGGAUGAUGACGGUACUGUAAGAAUAAGGAUCGGCUAACUCCGUGCCAGCAGCCGCGGUAAUACGGAGGAUUCGAGCGUUAUCCGGAAUCAUUGGGUUUAAAGGGUUCGUAGGCGGGUUUGUAAGUCAGGGUGGAAAGAUUACGGUCUCAACCAGUGAAAAUUGCCUUUGAUACUGCAGAUCUUGAAUAUUUGUGAAGUAACUAGAAUAUGUGGUGUAGCGGUGAAAUGCAUAGAUAUCACAUGGAAUACCGAUUGCGAAGGCAGGUUACUAACAGAUUAUUGACGCUGAUGGACGAAAGCGUGGGUAGCGAACAGGAUUAGAUACCC